GUUCAGUGGUAGAACAUCCCCUUGCCAAGGUGGGGGUCGCGGGUUCGAAUCCCGUCG
RNAcentral lists this transfer RNA (57 nucleotides) under Streptococcus mutans KK23. RNAcentral's name for it is "tRNA-Gly". It matches the Rfam family "tRNA", at positions 10 to 63 of the family's 71-position model. Rfam says of the family: Transfer RNA (tRNA) molecules are approximately 80 nucleotides in length. Their secondary structure includes four short double-helical elements and three loops (D, anti-codon, and T loops). Lineage: Bacteria; Bacillati; Bacillota; Bacilli; Lactobacillales; Streptococcaceae. The record is from RNAcentral.